CCCGUCACAUCACGAAAGUCGGUUGCACUUGAAAUCGUCGGGCCAACCCGCAAGGGAGGCAGGCGCUCAUGGUGUGAUUGAUGAUUGGGGUG
This 92-nucleotide ribosomal RNA is filed under the name uncultured bacterium. RNAcentral describes it as "partial 16S ribosomal RNA". The record is from RNAcentral.